RNAcentral lists this ribosomal RNA (324 nucleotides) under Triticum aestivum (bread wheat). RNAcentral describes it as "partial small subunit ribosomal RNA". The record is from RNAcentral. Lineage: Eukaryota; Viridiplantae; Streptophyta; Magnoliopsida; Poales; Poaceae.
AUGGAUUGGAACCCACAGGUGCUUUGUUGGAACGUGAGGGGGCUCAAUAACAUGUCUAAAAGGAAUGCGGUGAGGGAUUUCGUUCGGGAUGCUAGGGUUAAUUUGGUGUGUCUCCAAGAGACAAAACUUGAUGGAAUUGACACCUAUGUGGUAAUGCAAUGUAUAGGGCCAUCCUUUGAUGGUUUUUCUUAUCUGUCGGCUUCAGAGACUAGGGGUGGUAUCCUUGUGGGUUGGGACCGAUCUAUUUUGGAGAUUAACAACAUUACGAUGGAUAGCUACUCCCUCACGAGGCAGGUGCAAAAUAAAGACGGAUGGGAGUGGUAG